RNAcentral lists this ribosomal RNA (255 nucleotides) under uncultured bacterium. RNAcentral's name for it is "partial 16S ribosomal RNA". It matches the Rfam family "Bacterial small subunit ribosomal RNA", at positions 524 to 777 of the family's 1533-position model. The record is from RNAcentral.
UACGGGGGGAGCAAGCGUUGUUCGGAUUUACUGGGCGUAAAGGGCGCGUAGGCGGUCAGCACAAGUCAGUUGUGAAAUCUCCGGGCUUAACUCGGAACGGUCAACUGAUACUGUGCGACUAGAGUGCAGAAGGGGCAACUGGAAUUCUCGGUGUAGCGGUGAAAUGCGUAGAUAUCGAGAGGAACACCUGCGGCGAAGGCGGGUUGCUGGGCUGACACUGACGCUGAGGCGCGAAAGCCAGGGGAGCGAACGGGG